GCGUCGGUAGUCUAGCGGUAGGACCCAGGCCUUCCAAGCCUGUGACCCGGGUUCGAUUCCCGGUCGACGCA
This 71-nucleotide transfer RNA is filed under the name Nanobdellota archaeon. Its description in RNAcentral is "tRNA-Gly". It matches the Rfam family "tRNA". Rfam says of the family: Transfer RNA (tRNA) molecules are approximately 80 nucleotides in length. Their secondary structure includes four short double-helical elements and three loops (D, anti-codon, and T loops). Further hydrogen bonds mediate the characteristic L-shaped molecular structure. tRNAs have two regions of fundamental functional importance: the anti-codon, which is responsible for specific mRNA codon recognition, and the 3' end, to which the tRNAs corresponding amino acid is attached (by aminoacyl-tRNA synthetases). tRNAs cope with the degeneracy of the genetic code in two manners: having more than one tRNA (with a specific anti-codon) for a particular amino acid; and 'wobble' base-pairing, i.e. permitting non-standard base-pairing at the 3rd anti-codon position. Lineage: Archaea; Nanobdellati; Nanobdellota. The record is from RNAcentral.